Molecule: ribosomal RNA, 440 nt
Filed under: uncultured bacterium
Lineage: Bacteria
Description: partial 16S ribosomal RNA
Rfam family: Bacterial small subunit ribosomal RNA
Source: RNAcentral
CCUACGGGUAGCCGCAGUGGGGAAUAUUGGACAAUGUGGGAAACCCUGAUCCAGCGACGCCGCUUGCGUGAAGACGUAUUUCGGUACGUACAGCUCUAUCAGCAUGAAAGAAAAUGACGGUACCUGACUAAGAAUCCCCGGCUAACUACUUGCCAGCAGCCGCGGUAAUACGUAGGGGGCAAGCGUUAUCCGGCUUUACUGGGUGUAAAGGGAGCGUAGACGGCAGCGCAAGUCUGGAGUGAAAUGCCGGGGCCCAACCCCGGAGCUGCUCUGGAAACUGUGAAGCUGGAGUGCAGGAGAGGUAAGCGGAAGUCCGGGUGUAGCGGUGAAAUGCGGAGAUAUCAGGAGGAAAACCGGCGGCGAAGGCGGCUUACUGGACUGUAACUGACGUUGAGGCUCGAAGGCGUGGGGAGCAAACAGGAUUAGAUACCCUUGUAGUC